RNAcentral lists this ribosomal RNA (451 nucleotides) under uncultured bacterium. RNAcentral's name for it is "partial 16S ribosomal RNA". It matches the Rfam family "Bacterial small subunit ribosomal RNA", at positions 29 to 523 of the family's 1533-position model. The record is from RNAcentral.
AGCGAACGCUGGCGGCAGGCUUAACACAUGCAAGUCGAGCGGGCACUUUCGGGUGUCAGCGGCGGACGGGUGAGUGACGCGUGGGAACGUGCCUUCUGGUUCGGAAUAACUCAGGGAAACUUGAGCUAAUACCGGAUACGCCCUUUUGGGGAAAGGUUUACUGCCGGAAGAUCGGCCCGCGUCUGAUUAGCUAGUUGGUGGGGUAACGGCCUACCAAGGCGACGAUCAGUAGCUGGUCUGAGAGGAUGAUCAGCCACACUGGGACUGAGACACGGCCCAGACUCCUACGGGAGGCAGCAGUGGGGAAUAUUGGACAAUGGGCGCAAGCCUGAUCCAGCCAUGCCGCGUGAGUGAUGAAGGCCUUAGGGUUGUAAAGCUCUUUUAUCCGGGACGAUAAUGACGGUACCGGAGGAAUAAGCCCCGGCUAACUUCGUGCCAGCCGCCGCCGUAA